This 87-nucleotide transfer RNA is filed under the name Salinarimonas ramus. RNAcentral's name for it is "tRNA-Leu". It matches the Rfam family "tRNA". From Rfam's summary of the family: Transfer RNA (tRNA) molecules are approximately 80 nucleotides in length. Their secondary structure includes four short double-helical elements and three loops (D, anti-codon, and T loops). Further hydrogen bonds mediate the characteristic L-shaped molecular structure. tRNAs have two regions of fundamental functional importance: the anti-codon, which is responsible for specific mRNA codon recognition, and the 3' end, to which the tRNAs corresponding amino acid is attached (by aminoacyl-tRNA synthetases). tRNAs cope with the degeneracy of the genetic code in two manners: having more than one tRNA (with a specific anti-codon) for a particular amino acid; and 'wobble' base-pairing, i.e. permitting non-standard base-pairing at the 3rd anti-codon position. RNAcentral also lists the same sequence under 1 other name. Lineage: Bacteria; Pseudomonadati; Pseudomonadota; Alphaproteobacteria; Hyphomicrobiales; Salinarimonadaceae. The record is from RNAcentral.
GCGGCCGUGGCGGAAUUGGUAGACGCGCUAGCUUGAGGUGCUAGUCCCGGAAACGGGGUGGAGGUUCAAAUCCUCUCGGCCGCACCA